GCAGUUCUGGGAUGGCAGACUUGGGCUGCCACACACGCACCGCGAAGAGUUGCUUCAGGAGACACAGGACACGGCCCACUUCUCCAUCAUUCAGCCCUGGACUCUGAGACUAACCCAAGACAGACGAGCGAAAAUUAGAGUUUCCUAAUGUAGCUAUAUCUCAGCUGGGGGAUUGCUGCCCACCUGCCUGGCACUGUGCUGACGAGUUUCAGCACAGAUGUGACCUCUGUGGCCAGAGGCCAGGAUGAGGUUUGUGUGGCUGUAAAGACCAGCCUUCGAUCUUUUCUUUCUGAGGCAACCACAGUGGGUGGCUGCAGGCCUGGCGUCAUCUGAGAGGCUGCAUGGGUCCGGGUCCUGGUGGAUUCUAGGUGGAGCUUAGCUCCGAGCCUGGUGUCUCUCCUCUGUGUUAGAUCUGCACAAGGUUGUUCAUUGGCUCAGCCUGUGCCAGGUUCACACGGAGCAUCCUUAAAGGCCAGUUUGUGCUUUGAGUUCAGGGGAGGAACGGUGACUCCGGGGGUAGAUGUAAUUCUUCUUGGGGACUGUGGUGGUUAUCUCUAACUGUCCACUCGACAUAACCUAAAACAACCUGGAUAGACAGAGUCUCGAUUAGGGAUUGUCCAUGUUGGGUUGGCCUGUGGGCUUGUCUGGAUGACAGAUUGUCUUACCUAAGUUAACUGAUGUAGGAAGGCCCAGGCCGGUAGGGGUGCCAGCAUUCCCUAGGCAGGGGACACUGAACUGUAGGAGGAGAAAAACAGAUCUGAGCGUGAGCGAGUGGGAAUGUAUACACCCGUUUCUCUCUGCUCCUGAUUGUGGCUGGAUGUGACCAGCUGUGUGAAGGGCCUGCCUUGACUUUCCCCGCCGCGAUGGACUGUUAUAGAAUGAAAUAAAUGUCUUCCUUCCCUGA
Mesocricetus auratus (golden hamster) is the source of this 904-nucleotide long non-coding RNA. RefSeq lists it as uncharacterized. Lineage: Eukaryota; Metazoa; Chordata; Mammalia; Rodentia; Cricetidae. The transcript has 2 exons. The record is from RefSeq and is a predicted model, not a curated record.